This 328-nucleotide ribosomal RNA is filed under the name uncultured eukaryote. RNAcentral describes it as "partial 18S ribosomal RNA". It matches the Rfam family "Eukaryotic small subunit ribosomal RNA", at positions 1470 to 1796 of the family's 1831-position model. The record is from RNAcentral.
CCCUUAGAUGUUCUGGGCCGCACGCGCGCUACACUGAUCGGUGCAACAAGCAUCCGUCCUUGGCCGACAGGCCCGGGCAAUCUUUGAACGCCGGUCGUGAUGGGGAUAGACCUUUGCAAUUUUUGGUCUUCAACGAGGAAUUCCUAGUAAACGCAAGUCAUCAGCUUGCAUUGAUUACGUCCCUGCCCUUUGUACACACCGCCCGUCGCACCUACCGAUUGAAUGGUCCGGUGAAAUCUUCGGAUCUGAGAGAUGUCUGAUUAAUUUCGGACGCCUUUUGGAAAAGUUGUUUAAACCUUACCAUUUAGAGGAAGGUGAAGUCGUAACA